This 463-nucleotide ribosomal RNA is filed under the name uncultured bacterium. Its description in RNAcentral is "partial 16S ribosomal RNA". It matches the Rfam family "Bacterial small subunit ribosomal RNA", at positions 338 to 794 of the family's 1533-position model. The record is from RNAcentral.
CCUACGGGAGACAGCAGUAGGGAAUCUUCCACAAUGGACGAAAGUCUGAUGGAGCAACGCCGCGUGAGUGAAGAAGGGUUUCGGCUCGUAAAGCUCUGUUGGUAGUGAAGAAAGAUAGAGGUAGUAACUGGCCUUUAUUGGACGGUAAUUACUUAGAAAGUCACGGCUAACUACGUGCGCGAAGCCGCUGUAAUACGGAGGGGGCAAGCGUUGGCCGGGUUUUUUGGGCGUAAGGCGAGUGCAGGCGGGUCAAUAAGUCUGAUGUGAAAGCCUGCGGCUCAACCGGAGAAUUGCAUCAGAAACUGUUGAACUGGAGUGCAGAAGAGGAGAGUGGAACUCCAUGUGUAGCGGUGGAAUGCGUAGAUAUAUGGAAGAACACCAGUGGCGAAGGCGGCUCUCUGGUCUGCAACUGACGCUGAGGCUCGAACGCAUGGGUAGCGAACAGGAUUAGAUACCCUGUAGU